Ricinus communis (castor bean) is the source of this 1508-nucleotide RNA transcript. It is a transcript of the gene named double-stranded RNA-binding protein 4, with no coding region annotated. The transcript has 5 exons. The record is from RefSeq and is a predicted model, not a curated record. NCBI's taxonomy places the organism in Eukaryota, Viridiplantae, Streptophyta, Magnoliopsida, Malpighiales, Euphorbiaceae.
CCAUCUCCAAGAGACGUCCCUGUAACCUGAAGACUAAAAAGCCGAAAACCCAAAACUGAAAGGACAAAACCAGAGAAACCCUAAAUCCCACUCUCACUUCACUUAAACCCAAAACUGAAAGGACAAAACCAGAGAAACCCUAAAUCCUACUCUCACUUCACUUAAAGUCCUAAUUUCAAUAGAAUGGAUGAAUUCAUACCCAUUAUUGAUUCUACUCCAACUCCACUUCCGCCUCUGCCUCCGGCUGUCUCUACCUCUUGCCCGGCCCCAGAACACUUGAUGUAUAAAAAUCGACUACAAGAGUACACACAACGGCAAUCCUUGCAACUACCAAUUUAUCAAACUGUCAAUGAAGGAUACCCACAUGACCCAAAGUUUAGGUCAACGGUUUUAGUGGAUGGAGAAGAAUACACUUCUCAUAAUACAUUUUCGCAUCGAAAGGAAGCUGAACAAGAUGUUGCAAAACUUGCAUUGACUUCGAUAACAGAAAAGAUAAAGGAUGAAAUAAAGGAUGAAAAAUUUACUCACGAGGACACAGUGGCUUGCAAGUCCAUCUUAAAUGAGUAUGCGGUCAAGAUGCAACUGGAAAUGCCUACAUAUAACACUGUUAAGCAAGGAGGGCUGUUUCCAAUUUUUGUAUCUUCUUCAGUUUUCAAUGGUGUGACCUAUAAUGGUGACAUGGGUAGAACCAAGAAGGAGGCUGAACAAUUGGCAGCUCGUGCUGCGGUUCUUUCACUUUUGAGGAAUGUGGAGUCGGGGGAAAUUAUUUCUAAAUUUUUCAAGUCUAAACGCAAAUUAUAUGUUGGAUUUCAUAAAUCUGAUUCACAAGAUGCCCAAAAUAGCAAUAUGCCUGUGGUUGGUAAAGAUAUAAAAACUGAAGCUCUUAUGGUUAGUAAUGUUGUGCCAAUUCCUGAGGCAGCUUCUGCAUUGCAUCCUCCCCAUCAUGAAUUCACCAAAACGAAACCAGAAAAAAUCUGUGAGGGAAUUGAUCUUCCGAUAGCUUUUGUGCAUCCAGUAUCAGGACAGUCUGUGGAUGUUGCUCUUGAAUCUGGGAAGAAGAGGAGAAAGAAUAAGAAAAAGCCUAACAAAAAAUUGCGAAGUGAAUCUCAGUAAAAUUUAGUUCCUCGUACAUUAUUUUUUGUUUUUUGGUGUCUCGGCUUUAUUUCUCCUAUGAAUCAUAACACCUGUGUUUCUGAUUGCUUCAUUUGGGACUUUGAUGCCUUUUGCUGGUAGCAUUUUUAGAUGUGUUGCCAGUGGAUGCUGUGCCUUUGAAUCAAGCGGCACCAUAUUCAGUUGCCUCAUAAAGGGUGAGACUGCUCUGGUAUAAUUUUUUUUGAUUGUAGCUGAAACUGAUAUUUGUACUAGGUAUGCUGAAAGUUGUCUCUGUAAAACAUAAAUAAGGAUGGGAACCUUGGUGAUGACUGGACAUGUACAAAACAAUAGUAAUCUCAUAUUCUAUACCAGGUCAGCUAUUAUCUCGGAUGAUAACUACAUCUAGGUUUAUUGAA